UACAGAGGGUGCAAGCGUUGUUCGGAAUUAUUGGGCGUAAAGCGCGUGUAGGCGGCUUUUGCAAGUCGGGUGUGAAAGCCCUCAGCUCAACUGAGGAAGUGCGCCCGAAACUGCAGAGCUUGAGUACCGGAGAGGAUGGUGGAAUUCCCCAAGUAGAGGUGAAAUUCGUAGAUAUGGGGAGGAACACCGGUGGCGAAGGCGACCAUCUGGACGGAUACUGACGCUGAGACGCGAAAGCGUGGGUAGCAAACAGG
RNAcentral lists this ribosomal RNA (254 nucleotides) under uncultured bacterium. RNAcentral's name for it is "partial 16S ribosomal RNA". It matches the Rfam family "Bacterial small subunit ribosomal RNA", at positions 524 to 776 of the family's 1533-position model. The record is from RNAcentral.